AUACGUAGGUGGCAAGCGUUGUCCGGAAUUAUUGGGCGUAAAGCGCGCGCAGGCGGUCCUUUAAGUCUGAUGUGAAAGCCCACGGCUCAACCGUGGAGGGUCAUUGGAAACUGGGGGACUUGAGUGCAGAAGAGGAAAGUGGAAUUCCAAGUGUAGCGGUGAAAUGCGUAGAGAUUUGGAGGAACACCAGUGGCGAAGGCGACUUUCUGGUCUGUAACUGACGCUGAGGCGCGAAAGCGUGGGGAGCAAACAGGAUUAUAUACCCUGGUUGUCCACGCCGUAAACGAUGAGUGCUAAGUGUUAGGGGGUUUCCGCCCCUUAGUUCUGCAGCUAACGCAUUAAGCACUCCGCCUGGGGAGUACGGUCGCAAGACUGAAACUCAAAUGAAUUGACGGGU
RNAcentral lists this ribosomal RNA (397 nucleotides) under uncultured bacterium. Its description in RNAcentral is "partial 16S ribosomal RNA". It matches the Rfam family "Bacterial small subunit ribosomal RNA", at positions 523 to 918 of the family's 1533-position model. The record is from RNAcentral.